This 601-nucleotide ribosomal RNA is filed under the name uncultured Chroococcales cyanobacterium. RNAcentral describes it as "bacterial SSU rRNA". It matches the Rfam family "Bacterial small subunit ribosomal RNA", at positions 152 to 787 of the family's 1533-position model. The record is from RNAcentral. Lineage: Bacteria; Bacillati; Cyanobacteriota; Cyanophyceae; Chroococcales.
GGAAACGACUGCUAAUACCCAAUGUGCCGAAAGGUGAAAAUUUUUUGCCUGAAGAGGAGCUCGCGUCUGAUUAGCUAGUUGGUGGGGUAAAAGCCUACCAAGGCAACGAUCAGUAGCUGGUCUGAGAGGAUGAGCAGCCACACUGGGACUGAGACACGGCCCAGACUCCUACGGGAGGCAGCAGUGGGGAAUUUUCCGCAAUGGGCGAAAGCCUGACGGAGCAAUACCGCGUGAGGGAGGAAGGCCUUUGGGUUGUAAACCUCUUUUCUCAGGGAAGAAGAUCUGACGGUACCUGAGGAAUAAGCAUCGGCUAACUCCGUGCCAGCAGCCGCGGUAAUACGGAGGAUGCAAGCGUUAUCCGGAAUUAUUGGGCGUAAAGCGUCCGCAGGUGGUUUUUCAAGUCUGCUGUCAAAGACCAGAGCUUAACUCUGGGCCGGCGGUGGAAACUGAGAAACUAGAGUUCGGUAGGGGUAGCGGGAAUUCCCAGUGUAGCGGUGAAAUGCGUAGAUAUUGGGAAGAACAUCGGUGGCGAAGGCGCGCUACUGGACCGAAACUGACACUCAGGGACGAAAGCUAGGGUAGCGAAAGGGAUUAGAUACCC